This 184-nucleotide ribosomal RNA is filed under the name uncultured bacterium. Its description in RNAcentral is "partial 16S ribosomal RNA". It matches the Rfam family "Bacterial small subunit ribosomal RNA", at positions 1315 to 1500 of the family's 1533-position model. The record is from RNAcentral.
CCUGCAUGAAGUUGGAAUCGCUAGUAAUCGCGGAUCAGCAUGCCGCGGUGAAUACGUUCCCGGGCCUUGUACACACCGCCCGUCACACCAUGAGAGUCGGGGACACCCGAAGUCCGUAGUCUAACCGCAAGGGGACGCGGCCGAAGGUGGAUUCGAUAAUUGGGUGAAGUCGUAACAAGGUAAC